RNAcentral lists this ribosomal RNA (253 nucleotides) under uncultured bacterium. RNAcentral's name for it is "partial 16S ribosomal RNA". It matches the Rfam family "Bacterial small subunit ribosomal RNA", at positions 524 to 776 of the family's 1533-position model. The record is from RNAcentral.
UACGUAGGCAGCGAGCGUUGUUCGGAAUUACUGGGCGUAAAGAGUGUGUAGGCGGUGCUCCCAGUCUGUUGUGAAAUCUCCCGGCUUAACUGGGAGGGUGCAGCGGAAACUAGAGUGCUAGAGGGUGGGAGAGGUAAGCGGAAUUCCUGGUGUAGCGGUGAAAUGCGCAGAUAUCAGGAGGAACACCAAUGGCGAAGGCAGCUCGCUGGGACGUGACUGACGCUGAGACGCGAAAGCGUGGGGAGCGAACAGG